AGGACGAACGCUGGCGGCGUGCUUAACACAUGCAAGUCGAACGGGGAUUUAGUAGACAGAAGCUUCGGCGGAAGAUUACUAAUGAGAGUGGCGAACGGGUGAGUAACGCGUGAGCAACCUGCCUAUGACAGUGGGAUAGCCUCGGGAAACCGGGAUUAAUACCGCAAUAAAAUCGUAAGAAACACAUGUUUUAACGGUCAAAGAUUUAUCGGUCAUAGAUGGGCUCGCGUCUGAUUAGCUAGUUGGUGAGAUAACAGCCCACCAAGGCGACGAUCAGUAGCCGGUCUGAGAGGAUGAACGGCCACAUUGGAACUGAGACACGGUACCAAACUCCUACGGGAGGCAGCAGUGGGGGAAUAGUUAGCACAAGUAGGGGGAAACCCUGAUGCAGCGACGACCGCGUGAGUAGAAGAAGGUAUUACGUAUACGUAAAGUUCUGUCCUAGUAGGAAGAAUAAUAGAC
Molecule: ribosomal RNA, 462 nt
Filed under: uncultured soil bacterium
Lineage: Bacteria
Description: bacterial SSU rRNA
Rfam family: Bacterial small subunit ribosomal RNA
Source: RNAcentral